UCCCACUCACCAAAAGGGCAAGGGAUAUUUCAGCCUUCAUAACUCCUUCUGGCUUGUAUUCGUACACUGUUAUGCCAUUUGGUUUGAGGAAUGCUCCUGCAACAUUUCAACGGCUAAUGAAUCGGGUUGUUUCAGGGCUUACAGGUUGUGCAGUAUACCUAGAUGAUGUUGUGGUGUAUUCUGACACCUGGGAAGAACAUGUACAGCGUAUAGGUGCUCUCUUUGACAGGUUGGUCUGGGCCAACUUGACAGUAAAUCUGGCCAAGUGUGAGUUUGCCAGAGCCACUGUGACCUAUCUUGGGAAGGUGGUGGGUCAAGGCCAGGUUCGACCUGUGGAGGCCAAGGUCAUGGCAGUGCAAAAGUUUCCCCCCCCUACCACCAAGAAAGAGCUGAUGCGUUUCCUAGGGUUGGUAGGCUACUACCGCAGUUUUUGCAAGAACUUUUCAUCUGUGGUUGCACCCUUGACCGACCUCUUGAAAGCUAAAGCUGAAUAUAUUUGGUCUUCAAUGUGUCAAAAUGCAUUUGACAGUGUAAAAGCCUUGUUGUGUUCAGCCCCAGUGCUGGCAGCGCCACGAUUUGAUCAGCCCUUUAAACUUCAUGUAGAUGCCAGCAAUGUGGGUGUUGGGGCCGUCCUGUUGCAGGAGAAUGCGGAGGGUGUAGAGUGUCCUGUGAGCUUCUUCUCAAGAAAAUUUAACAAGCAUCAAUACAACUAUUCAGUGAUUGAGAAGGAGGCUUUGGCACUUGUUUGGGCUCUGCAGCAUUUUGAUGUCUAUGUCGGCUCAGGGUUAUCUCCGCUGACUGUCUUCACUGACCAUAACCCCCUCACCUUCUUGAAGUCACUGCAAAAUCCUAAUCAGAGGCUAAUGAGGUGGGCGCUGUUCCUGCAGCCAUAUAACCUAGACAUCCGACACAUUAAGGGGACUGACAAUGUAAUGGCAGAUGCCCUGUCUCGGGCACCUGUGGACCCUUAGUCUAUUUGUUCAUGCUGUCUCUCAUUUCCAUGUUCUCCUCUGCUCAUCUCUCGGCUCUUCAUUCCCUUAAAAUGCUCCUUUGGUACCAAGGCUGCUGGGUUGGUGAGGAUGGAGGGAUGUGCUGGAGGAUGCAGCCUGGGGGGAGUGCAGUACUGACUGUCAGUUAUUGGCUCCACGCCGCUACAGGUUCUUGGUUCUUGGUUCUUUUUGGCGUCUUCCUUGUACACUCAACAGCAGCACACACAUCUCACUCAUCCAUACACUACAUUCACCACUGAUGCCACUACUCUCCACACCUCAUGCUUUUUGUACAUAUAAUUGUUCAAGUUAUAAUAAAACCUUUUCAUUUAGCACUUUCAA
Molecule: long non-coding RNA, 1331 nt
Organism: Platichthys flesus (European flounder)
Lineage: Eukaryota; Metazoa; Chordata; Actinopteri; Pleuronectiformes; Pleuronectidae
Exons: 2
Source: RefSeq, a predicted model, not a curated record